UACAGAGGGUGCGAGCGUUAAUCGGAUUUACUGGGCGUAAAGGGCGCGUAGGUGGUAAGGCAAGUAAGAUGUGAAAGCCCUGGGCUUAACCUGGGAAGUGCAUCUUAAACUGCCUAACUAGAGUAUGGUAGAGGGUAGUGGAAUUUCUGGUGUAGCGGUGAAAUGCGUAGAUAUCAGGAAGAACACCAGUGGCGUAGGCGACUUACUGGGCCAUAACUGACGCUGAGGAACGAAAGCUAGGGGAGCAAACAGG
Molecule: ribosomal RNA, 253 nt
Filed under: uncultured bacterium
Lineage: Bacteria
Description: partial 16S ribosomal RNA
Rfam family: Bacterial small subunit ribosomal RNA
Source: RNAcentral